This is a long non-coding RNA of Vespula pensylvanica (western yellowjacket), 1796 nucleotides long. RefSeq lists it as uncharacterized. Lineage: Eukaryota; Metazoa; Arthropoda; Insecta; Hymenoptera; Vespidae. The record is from RefSeq and is a predicted model, not a curated record. The transcript is spliced from 3 exons.
AACAGAGAAAGAGAGAGAGAGAGAGAGAGAUAGGAGUAGGGAAGGAGAAGUUGUGAAACACAGUCAGUCUGGUGAAUCCUAUAGCACGGUAGGGUGAAGGUGGAUGGGCGAAGGGUGGGUGAAACGCAGGCCGGCGUUUGCGCCGCCGGAGGGUGGAUGUGCUACCAAAGAGGGUCGCGGAGGUGGGGAGUUAGGUGGAGAAGAGAGAGAGAGAGAGAGAGGGAGAGAGAGAGAGAGAGAGAGAGAGGGAAAGGCGUGGAAUUGGAGGAGGCAGUAGUAGUCAGUGGCUCGCCGCGCGCCACUACGAUCACCGUCGGACUUUGCGUUGAGAUUUUCCACUUGUUUCCCGUUAGACGAGUAGACAAAAAGGGAGCUAGCUAUUUAAUGGAUUGUUUUAGCAAGACUGCUAGUGUAUUUUUUUGUUUUUUGUCUAUCUUGCCUUGAUUAACACGAGUUUUCUAUCGAAAUCAUUUUCUGGUUGUUCGUGUUCGAGGGACAUGUUACGCGACGAGUGUUCAAUUUGGUUUCAUGAUGGUUGGAUGAUGUGCUGUGGAUAAUGUUGGAUAAAGUUUCAUGCCCUUGGAUGAUCCGGAGCUGUGCAGUGUGUUGUUUUGCAUAUUGGAUUCGGCUCGCGUCGUUCGACGCCCUCUCACCGUAUAUUUCGUUCGGGUUCGCUCGUUAAACGGGAAACGAGCGUGCAGGAUUCAGCACGCGAAUGCUAAUUCCCGUGGAGAAUAAUCGAAGAGCUGUGAAUUUCGUAGGAUAUUUCAAGCGAACUGUGUGUCCGUGUUUGUGAGAGAUAGAGAUAGAGAUAGACAUAGAGACAGAAACAGAGACAGAGAAAAAAAGAAAGAGAGGAAGAAAGAAAAAGAAAAAAAAAAGAAAGGAACAAAGAGAUGGUGAAAGUUCGAAGAAAUGGUGAAAAACGAGCUUCGAAAGGACGAAGAGAAGGACGAUGAAACCGGAAGGUUUUAGUGUUCGACGAUCGAACGAAUGGACUAUCGAGAAAGUGGUGCAUUUUAGACUUUAUUUAUUUAUUUAUUUAUUUAUUCAUUCGUUUACUUUCCCAUCCAAUUUACCGUGCGGUUGUAUUAGUGAAAUAGUGAUUACCAUUCUUCUCGGCGUUUCGUAUAGGAAUCAUCUCGGAUAGCCGACGAAGGCGGAUAUAAGAUUGAACGAAGAGGCUGGAAAGUGAAACUUCUUUCGAAAAAGCAGACGAGAAGGGUUAACUUUUAUUCACUGCUUACGAAAUCCCUGGUGCAUCGAAGUGGACCAAGAAAAAGAGAAAGAAAAAGGAAAAAAGAAGAAAGAAGAAGAAAAAGAAUACGAAUAAGAAGAAGGCUCGCGAUAUCGCGAAUUCGAACGAACUUUGGACACUUUUGUCCAAGGAAGAAACCGGAAAAGAACGAAGGUUAGAGUACUGCUGCUAGUAAUAGUGGUAGUGCUGAUAGGUGGUGGUAGUGAUAGUAGUGGUGAUGGUGGUGGUGGUUGGUGGUUGGUAGUGGUGGUGGUAGACGUGGAGGUGGUCGAGGUGACCCCUCUCACCACUCAUGCGUACGGACCAAGGGAUUCAGAAGUAUCCUUUUCAAUAGAAACGUUGCUGGCAUUGUUGUGGUGUACCGGAAAAUGACGACAGUGUCCGAGCCAAUGAACCGUUCCGAGUUAUCCAAGAAUUGGAUGACACGUGAAAAGUCGAAAGAUGAAAGUCGAGAGAAAAAGAAAAUUGCAAGAAAUUGAACGGUGAUAAUGUAAUUCGAUUAAUCAAACUCGAAAAAUUCAACUGAUCGUCGUCGUCG